ACGAACGCUGGCGGCAUGCCUAACACAUGCAAGUCGAACGCAGUAGCAAUACUGAGUGGCGGACGGGUGAGGAACACGUGGGAACAUGCCGAAUGGUGGGGGAUAACUGCGGGAAACUGCAGCUAAUACCGCAUAAGCCCUAAGGGGGAAAGAUUUAUCGCCAUUCGAUUGGCCCGCGGCAGAUUAGGUAGUUGGUGGGGUAAAGGCCUACCAAGCCGAUGAUCUGUAACUGGUCUGAGAGGAUGACCAGUCACACUGGGACUGAGACACGGCCCAGACUCCUACGGGAGGCAGCAGUGGGGAAUAUUGGACAAUGGGGGAAACCCUGAUCCAGCGAUGCCGCGUGAGUGAAGAAGGCCUUCGGGUUGUAAAGCUCUUUUGCCUGUGACGAUGAUGACAGUAACAGGAGAAUAAGCCCCGGCUAACUCCGU
This 431-nucleotide ribosomal RNA is filed under the name uncultured bacterium. RNAcentral describes it as "bacterial SSU rRNA". It matches the Rfam family "Bacterial small subunit ribosomal RNA", at positions 29 to 506 of the family's 1533-position model. The record is from RNAcentral.